This 402-nucleotide unclassified non-coding RNA is filed under the name soil metagenome. Its description in RNAcentral is "partial contains 5.8S ribosomal RNA, internal transcribed spacer 2, and large subunit ribosomal RNA". The stretch from base 1 to 121 matches the Rfam family "5.8S ribosomal RNA", at positions 35 to 154 of the family's 154-position model. The record is from RNAcentral.
GAUGAAGAACGUAGCGAAAUGCGAUAAGUAAUGUGAAUUGCAGAAUUCAGUGAAUCAUCGAAUCUUUGAACGCACCUUGCGCCCUUUGGCCAUUCCGAAGGGCAUGCCUGUUUGAGUAUCAUGAACACCUCAACUCUCAUGGCUCGCCAUGAUGAGCUUGGACUUUGGGGGUCUUGCUGGCCCGUGGUCGGCUCCUCUCAAAUGGAUCAGCUUGCCAGUGUUUGGUGGCAUCACAGGUGUGAUAACUAUCUGCGCUUGUGGUUUUCCAUCAGAUAACCUUCAGUGAUGGAGGUUCGCUGGAGCUCAUAAACGUCUCCCCUAAGCGGGGACAGCCCUUUGAAUGUUUGAUCUCAAAUCAGGUAGGACUACCCGCUGAACUUAAGCAUAUCAAUAAGCGGAGGA